This 301-nucleotide ribosomal RNA is filed under the name uncultured bacterium. RNAcentral describes it as "partial 16S ribosomal RNA". It matches the Rfam family "Bacterial small subunit ribosomal RNA", at positions 509 to 807 of the family's 1533-position model. The record is from RNAcentral.
CAGUCGCCGCGGGAAUACAGAGGGUGCGAGCGUUAAUCGGAUUUACUGGGCGUAAAGCGUGCGUAGGCGGCUAAUUGAGUCGGAUGUGAAAUCCCCGAGCUUAACUUGGGAAUUGCAUUCGAUACUGGUUAGCUAGAGUGUGGGAGAGGAUGGUAGAAUUCCAGGUGUAGCGGUGAAAUGCGUAGAGAUCUGGAGGAAUACCGAUGGCGAAGGCAGCCAUCUGGCCUAAUACUGAUGCUGAGGUACGAAAGCAUGGGGAGCAAACAGGAUUAGAUACCCCCGUAGUCCCUGUCUCUUAUAC